This 465-nucleotide ribosomal RNA is filed under the name uncultured bacterium. Its description in RNAcentral is "partial 16S ribosomal RNA". It matches the Rfam family "Bacterial small subunit ribosomal RNA", at positions 28 to 507 of the family's 1533-position model. The record is from RNAcentral.
GACGAACGCUGGCGGCGUGCCUAACACAUGCAAGUCGAGCGAAAAGACGCCUUUGGGGGUCCUCGAAUGGCGACCGCGUGCGUAACAGGUGAAUAACCUGACCUUGACUUCGGGAUAAGGUCAAGAAAGUGGAACUAAUACCGGAACGGAAUCCUUGCUGCAACCGCAGGGUUCAAAAGCUUCAGCGGGUUUUGCUGGACUCGAGGGUUAUCAGCUUGUUGGUGGGGCAGUGGCUUACCAAAGCGUUGACGGGUAGCCGGACUGAGAAGGCGACCGGCCACAUUGGGACUGAGAUAAGGCCCAGACAGCGACGGGAGGGAGCAGUGGGGAAGAUUGCACGAUGAGCGGAGGCCGGAUGAAGAAGCGCUGCGUGUGGGAUGACUGCCUUCGGGUUGUAGACCGCUUUCAGAAGGGGCGAAGCUUGUGGUGACGGUACCUGCAGAAGAAGCACCGGCUAACUACGUG